RNAcentral lists this ribosomal RNA (335 nucleotides) under uncultured bacterium. RNAcentral's name for it is "bacterial SSU rRNA". It matches the Rfam family "Bacterial small subunit ribosomal RNA", at positions 173 to 507 of the family's 1533-position model. The record is from RNAcentral.
AUGGUAUAAAGAGUUCGCAUGUUCUCUUUAUUAAAGAAUUUCGGUAAGCGAGUGGGGAUGCGUUCCAUUAGAUUGUUGGCGGGGUAACGGCCCACCAAGUCUACGAUGGAUAGGGGUUCUGAGAGGAAGGUCCCCCACAUUGGAACUGAGACACGGUCCAAACUCCUACGGGAGGCAGCAGUGAGGAAUAUUGGUCAAUGGGCGAGAGCCUGAACCAGCCAAGUAGCGUGAAGGAUGACUGCCCUAUGGGUUGUAAACUUCUUUUAUAAGGGAAUAAAGUGAGGGACGUGUCCCUUUUGUAUGUACCUUAUGAAUAAGGAUCGGCUAACUCCGUG